GACUCUCUAGUAAUCAGAAGUCCCGCUGGUAGAAGUCGACAUUUCUGCUUUCUAUACUACUUAUUUUACUACUAGCACGAAUUCUGAUUAGCUGCUGCUUUUCCGUUUUCUGCUUUUCCAUUAAGGUUAUAUCUAUUCUCUGUUCGACAGUAACAUUUGCGUGAAAGAAAAGAAUCGUGGAAUCUUUCCGACAUAAGAGACAUAAGACACAAGAACAUAAAAUAUCUCGUAAACUAUAAUACUGUGAUUUGUUAUAAUUCUGAAUACAGCCAAUGUAAAGAAA
Long non-coding RNA from Acromyrmex echinatior (Panamanian leafcutter ant), 283 nucleotides. NCBI's taxonomy places the organism in Eukaryota, Metazoa, Arthropoda, Insecta, Hymenoptera, Formicidae. The record is from RefSeq and is a predicted model, not a curated record.